UUUUAGCCCUGAUAGAAGCGAUAUCCUUUUUCUGGUUUCGUUUUAGAAACCAGAAAAAGAUAAAGCAGAUAGCAGGAAUAGCU
RNAcentral lists this small RNA (83 nucleotides) under Flavobacterium frigoris. RNAcentral describes it as "Flavo-1 RNA". It matches the Rfam family "Flavo-1 RNA". Lineage: Bacteria; Pseudomonadati; Bacteroidota; Flavobacteriia; Flavobacteriales; Flavobacteriaceae. The record is from RNAcentral.